Molecule: non-coding RNA, 670 nt
Organism: Zootoca vivipara (common lizard)
Lineage: Eukaryota; Metazoa; Chordata; Lepidosauria; Squamata; Lacertidae
Source: RefSeq, a predicted model, not a curated record
GACGCUGCUCAGAAGACUCCGAUGCUAAAUGCAGAUGCGCCCCUGAAUAUGAAUGCGGAAAUCUAGAGUGCGGCAGCUGCGUCUGUAGUAUUGGAGAGGAGUGGAACGGAGCAGGUUGCCAAGUGUGUCCUGAAGGGAAGUUUAAGUCCGGGAUAUCUGGUAAAUGCCAAAACUGGACACAAUGUCCAGCUAAUCAGAUCUCAAUUCCUGGGACGGCGAAAACUGAUGUGGUUUGCAACACGACAACAGAAGGCCCUACACAACCCCCGACUUGGCCGGUUUUAACUAAGGAGGCAGAGCAGGACAGCUAUCUGGUCCCCAUCAGCAUCGCCUUGGCGGUGGCCUUGCUUCUGUGUGUGCUGUUCCUGGUGCUCUUUUGCAUCUUCUUCAGAUCCUGGGCAAGAGAGAAGUUCCCGGCUGUGAUCCUGAAAGUGCCACUUGGACAGUUGGCCCAGGAGGUGGAUGACUGCAGCUACCGCUACCCGGAGGAAGAAGAGGGAGGAAGCAACGAAACAGCAGGGCUGACGGGGCAGCUCAUGGAAAAAAUCCCUUAGUGAGCCCCCGGCGCCCAGGAUGCUGUUCCAAGAUGCGACCUCUGAUGGGCGUUUGGGGUGGGUCAAAAGCAUCUUGCCUGUUUUCACAUUGCUUUGGCCUUUAUUUUUGUUUUAUU